UACUGAAUUGAUUAAAAGGGAAGUUGAGUGUAAAUCUCGCACGGUCCCGCCGCUGUAAAAGCGAAGUCUUUAUUAAAAUAUCACUGAGAAAUUGGGAAGGUUAUAAAGAUGAUGAUGCUUAAGUCAGAAUACCUGCCUGUAAUAUUAA
Molecule: non-coding RNA, 148 nt
Filed under: Clostridium tyrobutyricum
Lineage: Bacteria; Bacillati; Bacillota; Clostridia; Eubacteriales; Clostridiaceae
Source: RNAcentral